GUGGGGAAUAUUGGACAAUGGGGGGAACCCUGAUCCAGCCAUGCCGCGUGUGUGAAGAAGGCCUUUUGGUUGUAAAGCACUUUAAGCGAGGAGGAGGCUACCGAGAUUAAUACUCUUGGAUAGUGGACGUUACUCGCAGAAUAAGCACCGGCUAACUCUGUGCCAGCAGCCGCGGUAAUACAGAGGGUGCAAGCGUUAAUCGGAUUUACUGGGCGUAAAGCGCGCGUAGGUGGCCAAUUAAGUCAAAUGGGAAAUCCCCGAGCUUAACUGGGGAAGUGCAUUCGAUACUGGUUGGCUAGAGUAUGGGAGAGGAUGGUAGAAUGCCAGGUGUAGCGGUGAAAUGCGUAGAGAUCUGGAGGAAUACCGAUGGCGAAGGCAGCCAUCUGGCCUAAUACUGACACUGAGGUGCGAAAGCAUGGGGAGCAAACAGGAUUAGAAACCCGAGUAGUCC
RNAcentral lists this ribosomal RNA (451 nucleotides) under uncultured bacterium. Its description in RNAcentral is "partial 16S ribosomal RNA". It matches the Rfam family "Bacterial small subunit ribosomal RNA", at positions 354 to 796 of the family's 1533-position model. The record is from RNAcentral.